Molecule: RNA transcript, 2145 nt
Organism: Lemur catta (Ring-tailed lemur)
Lineage: Eukaryota; Metazoa; Chordata; Mammalia; Primates; Lemuridae
Gene name: solute carrier family 40 member 1-like
Exons: 7
Source: RefSeq, a predicted model, not a curated record
CCGAAUGUGGCACUUUGCCAUGUCUGUGUUCCUGAUAGAAUUAUAUGGACAUAAUCUUCUUCUAUCAGCAGUGUUUGGCUUAGUGGUGGCUGGAUCUGUAUUAAUAUUUGGAGUCUUAAUUAGUGAUUGGAUCGACAGGAAGCCAAGAAAUAAAGAACGCCUCUGUCGCUGCCUGCUGCAUCGUCCUGAUGCUCGUGUUCUCCUACAAGAGGGAGAUGGGACACAUCUGGCACGGCUGGCUGACCGUGGCCUGCUACGCGGUGGUGACCGCCCUGGCGGCCUUGGCGAACCUGGCCGGCACCGCGCUGACCAUCACCGUUCAGAGGGACUGGAUCGUGAGCCUCACGGGCGGCGACAGAGCCCAGCUGGCUGUGAUGAAUGCUACAGUCCGGCGGCUGGACCAGAUCAUCAAUAUAUUUGCUCCCCUGUCUGUGGGCCAGGGCAAAUGGACUCUUGGGAAGCCACUGAUGGAUUCACCUACAAGCCCAGAACUUUGGAAAAGCCAAAGGACCACAAGUCUAGACAUGAAAGACAACAGGCCACAACCACAGGGUUUCCUCUUGGCCUUCGAAAGCUGCAGAGGCUGCUCCGCACGUGCCGCGAGGGGUGGGAAGCCUACCGCAGGCAGACCAUCUUCCUGGCUGGCUUGGGCUUGGCCUUUCUCUACAUGACAGUCCUGGGCUUUGACUGCAUCACCACUGGCUUCGCCUACACCCAAGGGAUCGGAGGCUCCCUGCUUAGCAUCCUCACUGCCCUUUCGGCUCUAUCUGGCCUAAUGGGCACAAUUCUCUUCACUUGGCUCCGGGGGCACUAUGGCUUGGUCACCACCGGCGUCAUAUCCAGCUGGCUCCACUUAGGUUGUCUAAUGCUCUGCGUGUUUUCUGUCUUUGCUCCUGGAAGUCCUUUUGAUCUGGCUUUUUUCUCACUUCCCUUAAGCAAAAAUUCAUCUUCAAACCAUGAGUUGCUAAAGGAGGACCAGGUGCAUGUUUAUCCCUUUGAAAGAAACCUGAACCAACCCAUCCUCCCAGACCGUUCCUCCAUCCACUGGACCAACAGCACGGUUCUGUUUGAAGGCCAGCAGCACCCUGAGCCCCCCGAGUCUUACAUCUCCAUCAUCUUGCUCUUCUCGGGAGUGAUCCUGGCACGAAUUGGCCUCUGGUCCUUUGACCUCACCGUGACCCAGCUUCUCCAGGAGAACAUUCCAGAAGUGGAGCGAGGGGCUGUGAACGGCGUGCAGUGCUCCCUGAACUACCUCAUGGACCUCAUCCACUUCGUUCUCGUCAUGCUGGCCCCGUGGCCGCAGCAGUUUGGCAUGCUGGUCUUGAUCUCCAUACCUUUUGUAACCACGGGGCACAUGCUGUAUUUUUUUUAUGCAAGAAAGUGUAAGAGUAAAAAUGCCCAUGCCAAGAAGACAGUGAAGAAGAGCACUUGGACGCCUUUAAGCUGAGAGGUAGGCAGCGCCUCUGGCUUCUCAGAGCUCUAGGAACGCAGGAACAUCUCACACUGCUUCCGGGUGUCUACCUGCUGCUCGUUGCUACCCAGGAGAGCAAUUAUGUCGCUGCCUUUUGCCAGCAACAUCCACUGCAUUUAGCGUGUCUUUGUGGCAGUGAUGCUUCCAGAGUUUGAAAGGGGUCUGACUCGUGGCGCACCCAUUCAUGAAAGUCAGGGAGAUUCCACCCCAGACAACAUGAAGGGGCUUGUUUUAAUUUUGCCAAUAUAGUAACUCAAUGUUUCAGGGUUUUUACUGUUUGUUGGGUUCUAACAUUAGAAUAUUCUGGUCAGUGUUAAAAUUAGAUCACGCUGGUGGGGCCUGAUGUUUGGAUUCCAUUCUUUGGGUGUGGAGUUUUUGUUCUUCCGCUAGUUUUUGAAUGUUCUUUGGAUGAGCUAAGUGUCUCUAAUGAGGACUGAAGCUAUUUGUUGGAGAAACAGAUCACGAUAACAACCUUUGUGUGGUGUACGGACUCUGGGCCAGGCCAGAAAUCCGGCAGUCUCGCAGCCGACUUGGGCCAGCUUCGCCUCAGUGAUCAAGCUAAGACCAGGUCUGAUUAAGAGGACCACAGACGGGUGUGGAGCUGUCCUUCUGGAAAUGCAGAUGGCAAGGCGGAGGGCUCCUCAAGACCCCUGGCCCUUGCAGUACAGAUAAAC